GGUCUUAUAGUCAUAGUUUAUGACAUCAAACUGCAAUUUUGAAGGAGUAAAAUUUACUAAGGCUU
RNAcentral lists this transfer RNA (65 nucleotides) under Drosophila kikkawai. RNAcentral's name for it is "tRNA-Cys". The record is from RNAcentral. Lineage: Eukaryota; Metazoa; Arthropoda; Insecta; Diptera; Drosophilidae.